This 75-nucleotide antisense RNA is filed under the name Streptomyces sp. CB01580. RNAcentral describes it as "ASpks TB sRNA". It matches the Rfam family "ASpks TB sRNA". The record is from Rfam by way of RNAcentral. Lineage: Bacteria; Bacillati; Actinomycetota; Actinomycetes; Kitasatosporales; Streptomycetaceae.
CUUGACCGAGCCCAGCCACAGGGGUUCGCCGGCCGGCCGGUCCUGUCCGUAGGUGGCGAGCAGCGCCUGGGCCUC